GACGAACGCUGGCGGCGUGCUUAACACAUGCAAGUCGAACGGAAAGGCCCUGCUUGCCGGGUACUCGAGUGGCGAACGGGUGAGUAACACGUGGGUGAUCUGCCCUGCACUUCGGGAUAAGCCUGGGAAACUGGGUCUAAUACCGGAUAGGAGCCAUUUUUAGUGUGAUGGUUGGAAAGUUUUUUUCGGUGUAGGAUGAGCUCGCGGCCUAUCAGCUUGUUGGUGGGGUAAUGGCCUACCAAGGCGGCGACGGGUAGCCGGCCUGAGAGGGUGGACGGCCACAUUGGGACUGAGAUACGGCCCAGACUCCUACGGGAGGCAGCAGUGGGGAAUAUUGCACAAUGGGCGCAAGCCUGAUGCAGCGACGCCGCGUGGGGGAUGACGGCCUUCGGGUUGUAAACUCCUUUCGCUAGGGACGAAGCUUUUUGUGACGGUACCUAGAUAAGAAGCACCGGCUAACUACGU
This 465-nucleotide ribosomal RNA is filed under the name uncultured bacterium. RNAcentral's name for it is "partial 16S ribosomal RNA". It matches the Rfam family "Bacterial small subunit ribosomal RNA", at positions 28 to 506 of the family's 1533-position model. The record is from RNAcentral.